CGGGUGUCCGGCCGGGACUUCGAGCUGCGGCUCGUGAAGCUGCCGGGCUCGGCCCGGCCGGGCACCCUGCGGAUCGAGGUCGCCGACACGCGG
RNAcentral lists this transfer RNA (93 nucleotides) under Streptomyces albospinus. RNAcentral describes it as "tRNA-His". Lineage: Bacteria; Bacillati; Actinomycetota; Actinomycetes; Kitasatosporales; Streptomycetaceae. The record is from RNAcentral.